GCAUCAGUGCAGCCGAGUGGUAAGAUGCAAGGCUCAUAACCACAAGGUUGCCGGUUUGACUCCCCGCUGGGGCA
This is a non-coding RNA of Megalops atlanticus (tarpon), 74 nucleotides long. The record is from the annotation of a GenBank genome assembly. Lineage: Eukaryota; Metazoa; Chordata; Actinopteri; Elopiformes; Megalopidae.